UUUUUUUUUUUUUUUUGUUAAGGCAAUAGAUAUAUUUACUUGAAUUUGUUUUAAAAAGAAAAGGAAUGAAAAAGGAUAUUAAUCUUUGAAGUUUAUAUUUCAAACAAAAAAAAAAUAUAAAUACUCCUAUUUUUUACUAAUGAUUUUUUUCAAAUCUUCUUUAAAAUGAGAACUUAAAUUUUGAAGAGAAAUAUUCAAAUUUUAAAAAUAAAACUAAACUUGUUUUUUUUUAUUAUCAAUUUAGGUUUUUGAAAAUGACCCAAAUUGACCUAGGAAUAGUGUUUAUAAACUUAAAAUCUCAAAGUUUAAAAACAAAAUGAUUAUUGUGAGAGUAACUCUAAGUUAUUAGGUCAAAUAAUAGAAACGUUAUUCCCUCCUUAUCAUUAAUGGACUCACCGCAACAUCGUUAUAAAUCUAAUUUAUCACUAAAACGGUAUUGAUUACAUCACAUGUUCUAAAUAAGUUUUAUGAAACUUGGGUUUUAAAUUUUAAAGUUCGAGUUUAAUAACGUUGUUUUAAUCGUGGAUAAACUUUAAACUAUUGGCUUAAUUAACAAAAAAAAAAAAAAAGUCCAUUCAUCAUUGUCGCUAUUGUUAUUAUUAUUAAUAGAGUCACCACAACCUCGUUUCAAAUCUAACUUAUCAACGAAACAAUAUAGUUUGUCCUACACAUUUUAAAUAAGUUUUAUGGAACUUUAACUGUAUUAGCACUAUUUAAACAGUAGAUAAACUCUAAAUUAUUGUCUCAAUUAAUCAAAUAAAAACGUCCAUUCAUCAUUGUCAUUGUUGUCAUUAUUAAUUUAGCCACCUACAACAUUGUUCAAAAUCUAAUUAAGCAGCCAAACAGUGCCCUCACACAUGUCAAAUAAGUUUUAUAAAAUAAAUAAACUACAUUUUUUUCAAGGAAUAAAUAGAUAAAGUACUAAAACUCAUCGGUAUUUUUCUAGUCAUUCAUUAAUAUAGCACACUAUUAUCUUUUAAAAUUGAUUCAUAUCCUUCCUUAUACUUUUAAUUUUUUUAUAAAAAUUUAGUCCAUAGUGUAACAAUUUAAUCACGUAACUUAAAAGUUGAUUUCUAUUAUUUUUACAUAGUAGAAUUUGCAUUAUAUAAAAGUAUUGAUUCUAUUAUGAAAAAAUGUGAUUUAAUGUGAAGAAGGAAAUAGUUAGAAGUAGAUAGUCCAUUAAUGAUGAAUGAAGGAAGAAGGGAGUGAGUAAGAUAAUGAAUUUAGAAAAGAGGGGGAGGGGAGAAUGAAAAAGAAAAUGGUGAGUUAUUGAAGUGAUAAGUCAAACAUUAACUCCAAAAGAUUUGUGAGCAGCCUUUCUGGUUUACCCAAGAAAUCUCCCUUCUGAACAAAAUCAAGUGCUCUUCCUAUAAAGAAAACCCAACAAAAUCAAUUUUACUUUUUUUUUCUGCAGCUUUUUUUGGAACUUGUUUUACUAAAUAAACAUCAAUUCUCAGGUCUUUUUUUCUUUUUCUCUUCUUUUGUUAUAGCCACCGAACCACCGCAUGCGGCGGCGCUCUCUCUCCCGUCACCACAAACCACAAACCACAAACUUCAAUUUCUUCCUUUUUACUACAAUUGCUUUUCUUACUUUUAGGUUUUCCGUAUAGUUUUCUGACAUGUUUCUCCAGUGAUUCUAAUGAAAAUAGAAGUUUAGUAAUUAUAAUUGGUAACGAUUUUAAGAUAAAAAUGAAUGAUAUAGCAACAUGUAAAAUGGAUGCCAAUUAAUAUAGCAAAUCCUAUAGACUCGGUUAUAUUUGCAACUUUUUUAAAAUAUUGCUAUAUAUGCCGAUAUUUUGAAUCUAGUUGCUACAUUUACGAACGUCCAUAUAUUUUUUUUUUCUAAAUUUUGAGUUUUGUUUCAACUUUAUAUACAUUUUAAGGUCGAAACUCUUUAACUUUAAUUUUUACUAAACACGAGUCUCGGUUUUUAAAGUUAAUAUCUAUCAGUUGAUUUAAAUUAAUUUAAUUAUUUUGUACACAUAAUUAUUUUAAAUUAUUAAUGAAUAGAAAAGUUAAGACGUGAGACUAAAACAAGCAUUAAUAGUUAUUAAGAGAUAAAAUUAUAAAAUAAUGAACUUUUUCCAUUGGAUAAGCUAAAAAUUGGUAGAAGAAGAAGUACAUUUUGAAUUUAAGAACUAAGUAAGAGACAAAAAUCAAAAUUUAGGAGUAAAAGUAUAACAUUUAGGGACUCAUGUGAAGAAAGAAAAAGGAAAAAAGGGUUAUACAUAAAACAUGCAUUUAUGUAUUUUCCAUUAUCAUUAAUACGUUUUUUAAGAAAACAAUGUUCAAAUCAAUUUGAUAGUUGAGAAUUCCACAAGCUUCUCACGUAUUUUAUUUGACUUAGUUGAUAAGAUUGAUACCAAACCUAACUCCACAAAUUUAUCUAUUUUCCCUAAAAAGAAAAAAAAAUUAAUCCCAAAAUAUCGUAUAAUAUAAUUUGCAUUCAAUGAACUUGUGCAACUUUCAAAUUUUUAUUUUAAUCAACAUACUUUUAAUUAAUAAAACGUAUCCACAAUCACUUUCUUAAAAAAACUAUGAUCACAUGUCUGAUGUCCUCAACCUAUUUACACAUGUAAUUAGUAUUUUGAAGGCAAUUUCAAAUUGUUAUUCAUUCUAACUCUGUUGGUGUAAUUUCAAAAGCUAAAAUUUGAUUACCAUGUUUUGCCUACAUAUUCUAAAAUACCCAUAACAUUAGUUUAGACAUUAUAGUAAUUAUCACCACAGUUUUUACUAUUAUUAUAAAAUGAAAAUUUACGUUAACUACGUCCUGAUUACUGUUAUAGUGAUAACAAUUUUAAUUUUAAUUAGCAUAUUUACGCGCAAUAGUAAAAUUUUGAAUUAUAUUAAUAAUUUAUUAAUAUACUGUUGUUUUUAUUUUUGGGAGGAAUAAGAGAGUUAAAAUGGGAAAAGAAAAAGGUAAAAAGAAUUAUGCUUAAAAUAGAUUUGAAAAAUAAUGAGAGAUUAAUGAGGAGACAAUAAUUAACCUAACGAAACAAUAAUAAUAAAUAGGAAAAAGAGAGAGAGCGAGAGAGGAGGUGACGGGUGAGAAAAGACAGGAAGGAACGGUAACAGGUCAACUAUGGGAUGACAGUGUUGGCCAAUUGUCACGCUUUUAGGAGCGUUGUAAUUAUUGAAGUCAUGCAAAUUUAAAAUUAAUUAUUAUAUAUCAUUUAUUAUUCCUUAUUCUUUUUUUUUUUCUUUUUAAACAAACAAUUAAAUAAAAUCAGGUAAAAUGUCUGUGCCUUGAAACCCCAAAAAGCCUUUAUAUCACAUUUCCCCACUUCUCCUCGUUAUAUUGCAUUCAUCCUCUCAUUCAAAACAUCACCCUCAUUCUUUUCAUUUAUUCAUCUCUCAAACUAAAUAAUAUUUCUAAUUAUUCGUACCUUUCCAUUACAAUUUUUAUCUUAUUAUCCAAGACUACUGAUCAUAAUCUAUUUAGUAAAUAUUUAAAUCAACUUCGAUAUUGACGAGUAACAAUUGUAACACUUAAAAAUACUUUUUAAAAAGUAAUGGAUUUAAAAUUUUCGAAACUAGCCUCUUUCGAUUUUCAACUGCCAGACUUCAGUUUUGUCGAUCAACUUGAUUUUUCGAUCUAUCAUGUUUGCUUCUAUGCGAAAUUACUGCUUAUAUUGAUUAUUUAACAUAUUAUCAACUUUCACGAAUUCAACCGACUUUUUAAGUGUUGUUUUUGUGACAAAUAAUGAAUGCAUUCAUAUAAUCAACAUAAUUAUUUAAAUUGAAGUUUUUAAUGAACAUAAAACUAUACAAAUUUUAGAGUUUAGGGUUUGUUGGAAAUUAAAUCAAAACUUCAAGUGAUUUAUUACCCAUUUUUUUAAAAGUUUUGAGAUAUAAAAGAUUUAAUUUAACCUUAAUAAUAUGUUUUUUUUCACUAAAAAAAGAGACAUUGAUGAAUGAAUAAUUGUUGCAAACCUUAUUCAAUGAUAUCGUAAUGAAAAUUCACUGUUAGGAAAGCAUAAUGAUAAUCAUAACUUCCUUUUUUCAACCUUCACAAUAAUUCCAAUUUUGCUUCUUAUCAAAAAUAUAAAAAUAAUAAUUAUUUGGAUGAUAUGACUUUUAGAAUAAAAAUAAAGUCAUGUGAAUGGACUAAUUUUAUUUUAGCAACCAAAUUUCAAAGUUAGGCUAUGUAAAUCAUUUCGUGUAAAGUGCCCACAUUCUCAAUUUGGUAAAUAGACACACACAUCAAAAUACCUAUAAAUUUUGUCUCCACCUAACAUCAACUUUUACUUCCACACAAAUCUUUUUAAUAAAAUUUUAAUCCAACUUAACGAUUACAUGAUUAGCUAAAAUCUUAAGUUUUAUCUAGUACAUCUCUACCUUAACGUUUUCUAUUUUACUCUAUUUUUUAAGAUCUUAACUUUGUUGUUAGAUUUCAAAAUAUAUAAUACUAAAUUGAAAAUAAUAAAAUAAAGUAGUUUUUGUUUAUUUUUAUCACGGUUUAAAUAAAAUUUUAGAAAGCUAGUCUAUUAUUAAUGUUAUUAUUUUCAAACCACAAAUCUAUUUAUCCCUUAUUAACAUCUAUAUGCAAGUCAAUGAUUGUUUGAUUUAUUUUUAAUUAGUUAACUGGAAAUUAAUAAGUAGUGGGUAUGUAUUAGUCAAAUAUAAAAUAUUAAAAUUACACACGUAUACUUUAAUGAAAAAAUUGAACCAUAAACUGAAUGGGUUUAGACUUUGGUUUGACGAGGAAAUUUCUAGUCUGUCUCGUGAUAAUUCAUACAUUAAGCUCUAUUAUUAAUUAUUGAACACAUUGAAUAAUUUACUUGAUAUAAAGGUUAGUAUAGAAAUCUUUUGAUUUGACCAAGUCAAACAAGUAGGUGAGAAUAUUUUGUUUCAAGAAAAAUGAAUAGCAAUGUGUUAAAGGCUUAUUUAAGCAAUGACACGUGGCAUCCAUGCAAGGUAAAAUGAGACUUUGGGAGAGAAAGGUUGACUAUUUUUAAUGGCCAUUAACAAAAAUCAAAAUGACCCCCGGGAUAUGGGCAGAAGACCCAGCAGAGAUGAUAUGAAAAGUCGAUCAUAUAUAAUAAUUACAUUCUUAAAAAUCAAAUUUUAGAAUUUGAAUAUCAUUUUUCUAAUUCUUCCCUUCCACCUAAAAACGUCUAGUGGUUGAAAAUAAAUUCAAGGCCUUCAAAUUUCAUUUAUUGUGUGGUUCAACUCAAAUGAAAAAUACAAACUUUUGACACAACAUUUAAUCAUACGGUACUUGAUUUAUAUAUCCUAAUUACUUGACUUAUUUUAAAGUUAAUUCUUGCAUGUAAUUAAUUAAGAUUUAUAGUUAAAAAUAUCUAUAAAUGUAACAACAUUUAUUUGUUUUUAUGGGUGAUGGAUGAUAGUAAACCAUGAUGGUCAAAAUUAUGUUUAGUAAAGAAGUUGAAUGAACCUUUUAAUCAAGUUUAUGUAUAAAAGGAAAAGUAUGUAUUAAAGAUUAAGAAAGUAAGAAAGAGAGAAGGUUGAUGAAGACAAUUUUGAAAAUACAUAGUGAUUUAUGUAAUGACAUGUUUAUUUUUAACUAAUUUGAGAUUUUAAAAUGUGAGUAUUAUUAUUAUUUAAGUAUGACAAUCAUUACACAUAUGGGAAACAAAUUGAUGGUGACAACGGUAUUAAAUAAUACUUAAGAAGAGUUUUUAACACAUGAAAAAAAUAGGAUUUUUUUUUUUUAAUUUCAAAUAUCAUAUCUCCAAUCACAUACCUAGAUUUCAAUCGUACUCUUUUGUUAUAGAUGUCAAAAUAUUAUAUUUUGUCACACAUCCUUAAAAUUAUAUAAAUUUUCAAAUUUUCAAAAUUCAUUAAAAAGAAAAGUGUAGAGUUCACUGGUUUUAAAGAUUAGCACUAACAAUGUCGGUUUUAUACCAUAGUUUGAUAAAAUAUAGUGACUGCAUUUAUAAAAAAAAAACUUACUAAAGUGUAAAAACUGUAGUACUUCCUACAUGGUCAAAUUUACAGCUUCAUAUACUACAACAUUCAUCUAAGUUUAGGCCAAAAGGUUGUAAUUGUAAGUAGAUCUUACUAUAUUUUUUUAGAAAAAUUGAUAAUACAACACACACGAUAUAUAUAAAUGGAGAAAGAAGACUGAAAAUUUUCUAUAAGACAAAUAUAAUCUCGGAUGCACUAACUAUUUUUUGCAUAUUAAAAAAAAAGUGUAAAUAUGAUUUAGAUGGGUUAGGCAGAUGAAGAGGAAAUUAGGGUUUGUUUUAGUUGAAAAAAAGAGAGAGAAUGAGAAAGAUGAGAUUAUAUUUAGAAUUACAAAUUUGUUUACAUUUGGUAGUGCAUGGGGAGUAUCUGAUGUCAGAGCAUGCGUUGUAUCUUUUGACUUUAGAAUAAUAAUAAUAACGUUAAUGUCCCUAUCCCUACUUUUUAUUGAUAUCAUAAUAUUCUUUAAAGCCAUGCCCUUUACCUACUUCUAUAAUUCUACCCUCUUUUCUACUCUUCCUCCAUAUACAUCCCUUCCAAUAAUUUUUUCUCCACUCUAUUCUCAUUUUCUUUUUUUCCAAAUAACUUUUGAUUACAUACACACUCAUUAUCUCAUCAUAAAUGUUUGAUAGAAACAUCAUCAUCGUCAUAUUCUUGUUAAAUUACAUUUUGAUUUAAAUUUGUGGGUUUUGUUUUUUUCAAUUGAUCGUUUAUGCUAAUUUUUUUUAUUUAUGUAAGAUAACGAAUAUUGUUUUCUUUAAAUUUUAAUUAUUGUGAUUUUUUUAUAUAUUAAAAACAAUAGUAUAACAAAUUGUAAUUUAUAAAAUCUAUUAUUGUGAAUAAUUCAAAAUUCAAGCAUUAGAAAAUUCAAUUUUUAUAUUAAAUUAUGAUGUAUAAGAAUGUAGCAUGGAAUGUUCGAUAAUUAUAACAAUUUAGUUUAUAUAAGUUUAGUUAUUCGAUUACGAUAAUCAUACUAUAAAUUUAGUUAUUCAAUUAUACGAGUAAUCACAGUUAAAUUAGCAUUUUAAAUUAGUUUAGAGUAGCAAGAGAACUACAUAAUCAUUUUAAAAUGGAUUUGACAAAAUACCUUCUUCAAUUACUUGACUUCGUGUCACAUACUAUUUUUAAAUGUAUUAUAGAAAUCAUUUUGAUGUCCUCUACUUUAGGACUCGAUGCAUUCUAAUAUUGUACUUUCAAAUUUUAUGAUUUACGUGAUUGCACAAAUUUUAGCAAAGAACCUCAUCUAUGUUUGACAAAAAAAAUGUAACUUUCAAAAUGGAACAACAUAGUACGGAUAUAGUACUUACCAUAAUGAAUCUUAGGCUUUAAGUUAAUGAAAUGUUUAGGAUGUUAGACUGUUUUUUAAAGAACUAGUAAAGUUAGUUCUGGAAUGAAAACAAAGUUUUGAAUGUAAUAUAAAAUUUGAUAUUUUUAUAUUUAAGAAAGUAGUAGAGAUUUGUAUAAAGAAAUUUGAUGUGUAUUAGAGAGAGAGUAGAAAAGAAAAGAAAGGUAAAAAACUUUUAAUGAAACUUUUUGUAGAUAUAAAAAACGUAGUAGAUAGAAAAUGGUGAGAAAGUAGAGGAAUGAAAGAAGGAGUGAAUGUAAAAAUGGUGGAACGAUAGAAUAGAGAAAUGAAGAAAUGGUAAAAAAAAGAAGAAGAGGGGGGGAAGGGGGAGUGUUGGGAAAAGGAAAGGCAAAGGGAAGGGGGAGAUGACGUGGGCCAAUGAGAAGGGGAAGAGAAAGGUGGGACCCAGAAAAGAGAAGAGAAAAAGUAGAUUUUGAGUUUUUGGGUCCUCAACCCAUCCCCAUGGAUCGAGGCAAUCAGGGAAGCCUUGGAAGAAAGCGAAAAAGUUUAAAUACCCCACAAAAUAACAAUAACAGUAAUAAUAAAUAAUUAUAUAUAUAUAUAUACAUAUAUAUAUUUUAAAUUUUUAAAAAAAGAAUUAUAUAAUAAUAAUAAUAAUAAUAAUAGAAAUAAUAAUAAUAAAAUAAUGAAGGGUGAAGGGUGAAGGGUGAAGGUGACUAGUCGCAGACAAUAGCAAUCAUUAGUACGGUCCCCUUCCCCUUCCCCUUCUAAUUUAUAGGUUCCCCAUUUUCUCUAUUAUUCCCACACUUUCUUUAAAUCAAUCAAAUUUUAUUUUUCCCUAAUAUCUCACGGCCACUUUCCUAAUAUUACUUUUCUUUUUCUUUUUUAAAUUAUUUCAUUUUAUUUAUUAAAAAAACAAAAAGCAAUAUUUUUACUAAGCUCUCUGUUUUUAAUCUAAUUUAAAAAUCAGAAAAACAAAAACACAAUAAGUGUUAUCCACUAGAGUUUUAACUUUUAGGUUGGAGAGAUUUUAUUAUAUGGUUCUUGUAUAUACCAAUAUAGCUCAUGAGUUACACUUCCAUAAUGCCAUAUUAAUUAACAUUUUCGUUAUAUUAUAUGUCUGUGCAAGAUCUUACAUAUGUUGGACUUUACAACGACUGUUUAAUGGACCUUUGGCUUACUUUUCUUUUAGGAGAGUCAACCAAAAACUGAAAAGUUAGACCAAUCUAAAUUAAUCUCAACUCGUUUAUUUUUGGGUUUUAGUAAAAAUAAAAAUAGACAUUUUGGUUUGCAUUUGAAGAAAACAAAAAUAUAUUGGUUUGAACGUUUUAAUUAAUUUGAUGGACAAACUAAUAAAAUCCAAAUCCAACCUUUGCAUAGGUGUUAUUUAGAAAAUUUAUACAAAUUACUCAUGUUAAAAUUCUUUAACACAAAGGAACAAUGUUAUUGACGUAGUUAAACGAGACUAUUUUAUAGGCAAGUUCUUUAACACAAAAGCACAAUUACAUGUGUUAGUAUUGAUAUCAUUGGUGUUUCUAAUACUGAACGUGUAUAAUGUCAAUCCAACUCAUAACUUUUGAGUUUUUGCUUACCAAAUUAUUGAGUUGUUGUCAACACAUGUAAGAAUUCAAAUUAGAGACUUAACCUCUAGACAUAUUGAUAAGUUAAGAACUAUACUACAUAUUUAUUACACUCACGUAAAAGCUCAACGACUAAGAUCGUAUCAUACCAAUAUUGUUUAUUACCUUUUUUUCUUUUUUACAACAAAACAAAAAUAAGGAAAUGAGUAUUGAAACUUUCAACCCUAUAACAGAAUCUGAUCCAUAUUUUAAUUAGUGGAGUAUAUUGGAUUGAAUAAUAAUUCAAAAUUUGUCACCUCUUUAAGUUAGUCACGUUUAUUUUUUGAAAAAAUGAUGGAAUAGGUUAAUGUUGUAGCUAUAUAGCUAGCUAGCUAAUAUAGGAACAUAAAUUAUAUCUCAAUUAAUAAUUGAAUUGUUAUUUUGGGAUGUCAUGAAAUAAUUUUAGCAUGUAUUAGUUAUAAUUCGUUACAAUUGUUUUAUUUAUUACCGUGCAUUAUUAAUUUAUUGCAUAUGCUCAAAUAAUAUAUGUAUAAUUAUUGGAUGGGUUUUCUUCUUCUUCUUCACUUAUAUAAUUGGCCACAUUUAAUUUUAUUGUUUUUAGAUAUAAAUACAUAUUUCCAUUUUUAUCUUAUUUAAAUUAAAAUGGGUAAAUAUUAAAUUAUGUGUUUUCUCAAGGCUUUUAUGAUAUACCUAUUUUGUAUGUUACUCUCUAGAUCUUAUUGAGCUUUCAGUUUUGUAUUUAUGGUAUCGUUGAAGCUAAGAAGAAGUUUUAGAAUGAGUGUUAAAUUUUUUAAGUUAUAUUUGAUUAAUUGGCCAUUUUAAUUAACUUAAUAAAUCCAAGGAAAUGCAUGUGAUGCUAAUAGUAUUGCUUAAAUAUAUUGUGCAAAAUUCAAAGUAUGUUUAAGCGUAACAUGGUUAACUAUAUAUAAUCUCGUUACAUUGGAACAUUGGUAAAGUUUUAAUAUGAUUAGGAAAAAAAUGUUUGUGUUGAGAACCCAAAGAACUGAUAAAAAAUUUAAGCUUAAAUAUACAUUACCAUAUUGUUAUGAGACAGACAUACCUAAGAAAUCAUCUUAUAUGUAGAAACUAAAUAAACACAAAUUAAAAUUUAAAAGUUCAUUGUUUAAAAUUGUAUAGGACGAAUAAAAUAGAGCAUAAUUAAAUUGAGAUACAACUUAUUGAGAGAUUCAAACUUCUCACCCCACGUAAUGUUAAAAUAUAAAUUUAUAUUUAUAUAAAUUUUUUUACUAGUUUUACAAACUUCCAAUCUUAUCGACAGAUCUUCUAAAAACAAACUAAAAGUAAAUACUUUUAGACUGUUUGAAGAAUUGGAAUACAAUCAAAUUACAAUAAGGAAAAAAUUUAUCAAGGGACUAGAGGACACACACCAUAUUAACAUUCUCGAUUUUUAUAUUAUAUUAAGUAAUAUUUUAUUACGAUUAAAUUAUGCCUUUGACAUUGUGUCCUCUCUUCAAAAUCUCAAGAAACAAGAUUAAAAUACAUGAAAAUUUGAGAGCAAAACAAAAAUAGAAAGUAGUAGAAAAGAUGAUCGAAUUGAAAACUAAGGAGGAAUGAAAUAGGUUUUGUAUCGAACACGUAGCACAAAACUCCAAAUCCAAACAUGAGUUUGGAUUAUUUAAUUCACUAUGGUCUAGAGAACAACUCAUUAACAUUUGAAGAGGUUUUUAAGUGAAGGAGUGGUUUGGUCCAAAAAGUUGGUGACCGUGGAACCUAAAAAUAUGAAAAUUAUGGUGUGUGAAGUUAUUGAGGGUAUGAGAGUUUUGGUGAUUUUGUAAGUGCCACCAAACUUUAUAAGUAGUACAAUUAUUGUUCCAACAAUCUCACAUAUUAGAAAAAGAAGGAAAGAAAAGUAAAUAUAUGUAAGGGGGGGAAGUAGAGAAGUAGAGAAGUAGAGAAGUAGAGAAGUAGAAAGUAAAAUGAAAAAUAGAAAAAGAAAAGGGAAAGGCGUGGGAAUGACAGAAAGUCAAUUUUCAUAAUUGCAUUUCAUUGGUCCAAUCAAUUAUCAUUCAAACUCCAUCCUCUCCCAAAUCAUUUGGAUCUUCUCGGUCCCACCUUCCCUUUUCAAAUCUAUCUCUAAAUAUAACAACAUUACUACAUCUUCCCACGUCCCAACUCUUCUCCCCCACUCAUUCUAACUCUCUACCAAUUUCAAAACAAAACAAAUGGGUACUUACAAAAUUCUUCUCAACAUUCAAAUACGUAGUUACACUAUGAAGCACAAUUUACAAUAUUUAUACCAUAUCCUCCACAUUGUCAAUGAUACUAUUCUUAUAUCACUUUCAAUUAUUUAUAAUCUUCUAAUAAUAAAUCAUUUGAAAAUUUACCAAUUGAGAACUGAAUUUUAGGUCCAUUUAUAAAGAUUAAUUGUGAUUUUAAUUUCAUAUAUAUUGGAGGCUGUUAGCCCAUCAGUAGAUGUGACCAAUCACAUCACAAGCGCAGGUUUUAAGGGCUUCUUUUUUGCACUUACUUUUAUUUACUCUUUCAAAAUGUUUAUUAUCGGAGAAUGAGCAUUUAGUCAUAAAAUAACAUUUUUACUUCAUUUCUAAGAUAAAUAUAGAAAGAAAUUGAAAUUAUAAGGAGUGUUUAUAGACAUAUUUUUCAAAAGCUAAAACCAUUCAAGUCAUGGGAGCUAAUAAACUAAAACUGAAAUUACACAAUCAAAAGGAAGCAAAGUAAGAAGGAUGAAUGUAAAUAAAAUUUGAAUAAAUAAUAAUAUAAUUUGAUACGAUUAUUUGGUGGGGCCCGGUCAAAGAGAAGUCCUUAAACCGACAAAGAAACGUGCAAUGACCACUUCCUUCCUCUUCAGAUCAUAAAACAUUUCCCCUUUUUCUUUGCCUUUCAUUUUAUUUUAUUUUUUCAAAUGUUUCGCAAAUCUCCACUUUUCCAUUGCACGUGCGAGACCCAUCUACUUCUAAAUCUCUCAUUGGGUUGGGCUUUUCUUCCUCCCCCGAAAACAUCGGCCCACCUCUCCCCUAUUGGGCCCGGCCCCCUUUAUUUUUUCUUCUCACCCUUAAAUACUCUUCUUAUAUACCAUCGUAGAUAUGUUCAAGUCUUUUCAACAUCAUAUAUUCAAAAAUAGCAUUACUUCUCAUACUGCAUUCCUAAUAUAUAUUCAAUUUCCAAUCAACUUCCAAAUACAACCAUGCCAUUUUCGGCUUCAUUUCCUAUUCAACUUCCAUCCUCUAUACAUAAAGAACUUACUCCAUAAAAUCAUUAUUUUUUUAAUACAAAUAAUAAUUUUAAUGCAACCAAAGACUUUUCCAACAUUAGAUUUAUUAAAAUUAAAUUAAUAUAUAUAUAUAUAUAUAUAAAUACACAUCCAAAUAACAUCUACAAGUUCAACUAUAAUUUAUUACAUAGCGGAUUCUUCUUAUUCCAAUUUUUAAAAAUCUUUUUAAUCAUUUUUCUUGGUAUAAAUGAUACAGCUAAGUAGUGAAUAAUUCUUUCAAAAUUUAUAAAGAAAAGUGUGCAUUUCACUCUGAUAAAAAAAAAGGGAUAGUCAAAACUAUAAUCUAGAAAAUUAGGUGGGAAAAACAACCUGUGCUCGUCAAAAUUUGACCUUACCUUGAGAAACAGAAUUCAGCUCUGUGAAGAAUAUCGGUUAAGUGCAGCAGCAGGCUCCAGGAGUCAAAGGGGGUGAUGCAAUGCCUGAAGAUGUGAAUUAUUAACGUUACCAAACCCAUACUCUUUUCGGGCUAGGCAGGUGUGAUACUCACCCACAAAUACUUCUUUCUUUUACUUACCUUUCCAUUUUUAGGCCGCUGCCAUCGUCACAAUGUUCCUCAUAACAAUGGGUCCUGACGUCUAGCACUUUUAUGAAAUGUGUUCCAUUAGAAAAACACAAAGAUCUGAACCAAACACAGCCCUCUCUAAUAAUAUAUAAAAACAAGUGAAAUGAAUGCAUAUAAAGACCAAAGGAUUAAUAAUAAAUAUGAACAAAAAGAACAGAUAGAAGAACAAACUUCUUACACAAGGGUUAGUUCUGUACACUAAUAAGAUGUAUCUAUUCUUAUUUAAGUCAGACCCAUAAAGGAAAAGGAUUAAAGAAAAGUUACUAAACUACAUAAACUGAAAAGUCAAAUCUCUAAAAUUAAUCCUAAUGCAAAUAUUUUGCACAAAUUCACCUCAGUUGACC
RNAcentral lists this long non-coding RNA (12970 nucleotides) under Cucumis sativus (cucumber). RNAcentral's name for it is "long non-coding RNA (CSAT_LNC002904)". The record is from RNAcentral. Lineage: Eukaryota; Viridiplantae; Streptophyta; Magnoliopsida; Cucurbitales; Cucurbitaceae.